GAUGAACGCUGGCGGCGUGCCUAAUACAUGCAAGUCGAGCGAACAGACGAGGAGCUUGCUCCUCUGACGUUAGCGGCGGACGGGUGAGUAACACGUGGAUAACCUACCUAUAAAACUGGGAUAACUUCGGGAAACCGGAGCUAAUACCGGAUAAUAUAUUGAACCGCAUGGUUCAAUAGUUAAAGACGGUUUUGCUGUCGCUUAUAGAUGGAUCCGCGCCGCAUUAGCUAGUUGGUAAGGUAACGGCUUACCAAGGCAACGAUGCGUAGCCGACCUGAGAGGGUGAUCGGCCACACUGGAACUGAGACACGGUCCAGACUCCUACGGGAGGCAGCAGUAGGGAAUCUUCCGCAAUGGGCGAAAGCCUGAUGGAGCAACGCCGCGUGAGUGAUGAAGGUCUUCGGAUCGUAAAACUCUGUUAUUAGGGAAGAACAAAUGUGUAAGUAACUAUGCACGUCUUGACGGUACCUAAUCAGAAAGCCACGGCUAACUACGUG
RNAcentral lists this ribosomal RNA (497 nucleotides) under uncultured bacterium. Its description in RNAcentral is "partial 16S ribosomal RNA". It matches the Rfam family "Bacterial small subunit ribosomal RNA", at positions 28 to 507 of the family's 1533-position model. The record is from RNAcentral.